Callithrix jacchus (white-tufted-ear marmoset) is the source of this 4712-nucleotide non-coding RNA. NCBI's taxonomy places the organism in Eukaryota, Metazoa, Chordata, Mammalia, Primates, Cebidae. The record is from RefSeq and is a predicted model, not a curated record.
GGCGGGCAGUUAAGCGCCGAGCGGUGCUUGCCACUGCGCUCCCCUCCGUUUGCACCCACGCCCGCUCUAUUCCGGUUGAGACUACAUGUCUCCGAGGACCCAGCUCCCUUUUCCGUUGACUUGGUGGUCGCUUUCCAUGUGUUGCUGAGAGAUGGAUAUUAAAAUCAAGGCUGGGACUACAGUGAGGCUGAAGUCACUAAAGUGCUUGGAGUGCAGAACUGAAAGAAGUACUAACUAUUAGGGUUGGGGUACUGGUUCCAGGACACCUUGUGGAUACCAAAACCUGCAGAUGCUCAAGUUUGUUACAUAAAAUGGUGCAGUAUUUGCAUAUAACCUAUGCACAUUCUUCUGUACACUUUAAAUCAUCUCUAGAUUUUUUAAUAAAAUAUAAAUGCUGUGUAAAUAAUUGUCAUACUGUAUUUUAAACUUUGUAUUAUAUUUUACUAUCAUUGUUUUUUCCUGAAUAUUUGUGCAUUGCCAUUGGUUGAAUCUGCAUAUAUGCAGAGCUCAUUAUAUAUACUACUGAAUUUGACUACAAUGCUAUCAAUUACUGAAAUAUAAUUGUAGAUUUCCAAUUAUGCUUGUGGAUCUAUUUCUUUUGUUCUGUUAGUAUCUGCUUCAUGAAAUUUAACACUCUCAUUAUAGGUUCAUACCAGCAUACAUAUUCCUGAUGAACACAUAGAGUCAUGUGCCACAUAACAACAUUUUAGCCAAUGAUGGACACAUAUACAAUGGUGGUCCCAUAAGAUUACAAUGGAGCUAAAAAAUUCCUGUCACUUAUAGACAUUGUCAUGCAACAUAUCACUCACGUGUUUGUGGUGAUGCUGGUGUAAACCUACUGUGUUUCCAGUUGUAUAAAAGUAUAGCACAUACAAUGUGUAGUACAUAAUAGGUAAUAAUAAAUGAUUACAUUACUAGUUUAUAUAUUUAUUAUACUAUUUGUAUUAUUAUUUUAGAGUAUACUCCUACUUAUUAAAAAAAAAGGGUAAUGGUAAAACAGCCUCAGGCAAAUCCUUCAGGAAGCAUUGUUUUCAUGGGAGAUGAUCACUCCGUGCAUAUUACUGACCCUGAAGACGUUUCAGUGGGACAAGAUGUGGAGGUAAAACACAGUGAUAUGGAUACUGUUGACCCUAUGUAGGCCCAGGCUAAUGUGUGUGUGUCCUUGUUUUUAACAAAAAUGUUUAAAAAUAAAGCAUUUUUAAAAUAAAAAGUUUUUAAAUAGAAAAAAGCCUAUAGAAUAAGGACAUUAAUAUUUUUGUGUUGCUAUGUAAUGUGUUUGAAGUAUUAUUCAAGUAAUAAAGAUAAAAAAUAGCAAGUUUAUAAUGUAAAAAUAUAGAAGCUAAGGUUAACUUUUUAUUGAAUAAAGAAAACUUUAAAAAAUAAAUCUAGUAAAGCCUAAGUACUGCUUGUAAAGUCUACAGUAGUGGACAGCAAUGUCCUAUUCCUUAGCUUUCUCACAGCUCACUCACUGACUCACCCAGAGCUUCAGUCCUGCAAGCUCCAUUCAUGGCAAGUAUCUUACACAGGUGUGCCAAUUUAAAAUAUUUUAGUCAGUAUUUUUACUGUACCUUUUCUAUAUUUAGAUACAGAAAUACCACUGUUUUAUAAAUGCCUAGAGCAUUCAAUACAGUAAUACGCUACGCAGGUUUGUAGCCUACGAGCAAUGGACUAUAUACCAUAUAACCCAGGUAUGUAGUAGGCUACCCCACUUCUGUUUGUGUCAGUGCACUCUGUGAUGCUUGCAUGAUGCAAUCACCUAAUGACACAUUUUUCAGAAUGCGUCCCUGUAGUUAAGUGACAAAUGUAUAUGCAAAUUCCCAAUCACCUGCUCUUUUAUGAUUGUUACCUCUUUAUCUCCUGCUAUAUACAUUGUUUUGAAGUCUAUUAUCAGAUAUUACUAUUGCCACAUCAACUUUGUUAUACUUAAUGUACAUCUUUUUCUUGACCAAUUUUAAGUAAAACUACACAUGAAAUCUCACAGACAUUAGGGUAAACUAAAAGAGAAAUGUGGAAUUCUGGAACUGACAAUUACACAGCUGACUGGAAAGGACACCAGCAAACUUUCCUGUGGUGCUGGUGUUGUAAACCAAAAAUAAAAUCCUAAGCAUCCCCCAGGCCAUCUGAAUGGACCCCUCCCCUUGGCCAGGGCAUUCCUAACCUGAAAAACUAGUAAAGCCAUGUUGGAAAGGCGGAGGUGGGUGGGUCGGACAUGCCUUAUUAUAGCCUCCUUCAUUUUGGAAUUACUGAUGGAAAAGACCCCAAAUCUGAAAAGAAACACAAUCUACUCUCUGUGAAGCCUGCUAUCUGGAGGCUUCACAUACAAGACAAAAUCUUGGUCUCCACAACGCACUAUCAACCCAGACAUUCCUAAGUCUUCAGUCAGUAACUCUUUCAAUCUAUUGCCAAUCAAAUAAUCUUUGAAUCUACCUAUGACCUGGAAGGCCACCCACCUUUCAGUUUCCCGCCUUUCCAGAGGGGAUCAAUGUACAUUUUGCAUGUAUUUAAUUGGUGUUCCAUGUUUCCCUAAAAGGUAUAAAACCACAUAUAUAUCACAACCACCUUGCGCACAGGUUCUCAAGAUCUCCUGAGGGCUGUGGCACCGGCCACUGGUCACUCAUAUUUAGCUCAGAAUAAAUCUUUUCAAAUAUUUUAGAGUUUGAGUCUUUUCGUCAACCGUGUAAAUUAACACGCACUAGGGCGGGGACACACACACACACAGUGAGUGCCCUCUACCUGCCAGAUUCCAUUCUGGGGCUUUCUUAUGGUACAAAACGGACAAAAACUCCCAGUCACCCUCAGGUUCACGACCACGGAUCACAGAGUGGAGCAAAACCUUGCCCGACCCAGGAUCCGAGUUCUCAGCUCGACCCUCCCCCAGCCGAAAGCCGGUACCCGCUUCAGGCCUUCCCAACCCUGCCCUCUGAUUCCUUCUUCGGCCUCCCUCAGCCUGGAGUCCGGGUUUUCUCCCUGGCUGAGCACCUGGGUCGGCGACUCCCUUUACCCUCCCCGGUCCGGGCUUCUGGUUCCAGAGGUGAAGCGGCGUCCACCCAAACUUCCGCGGCUCCCCCACGGCCAGCCUCGGCCCAGCUUCCUGUUCCCCAUUCUGCCCUCCCCAGCCCGGGUUCCCGAUUACUUCCUAGGCUUCACCUUGCAGUCGGGGACCACCAGCUGCCUCUCCCGCGCCUGGAAGACGCACAGCGGCAGCCUCCGCCAAAGACAAAGGUCUGCGCACUCGGAAACGACAGAGGUCUGCGGCGUGGUGCGGCCCCUGCGACCAGCCGGCUCCGCUUGCGCAUCAGACCGCUUUCGUUGCUGGACUACGUUUCCCACAGGCUCCAGGGCUGCGGAUGAACUUCGACCUUUGAUUCCCUUUCCGGUGGUGUCGUGGUUUUUGAGUUAAGCCUGGUGAGUCGAGGUGACCUGCGCCGGGCUGCGGGAGUAACUCGCGGCGAAGUGGCCCCGUGCAGCCGGGCGAGGUCGGUCCACGUGGAGCCGGGAGCCUCAGGCCUCUGUACACGGAGCUGCGGACGAUGGUUGUCGGUGCUAUUUGUUACGGCGUCAUUGUGGGUUCUGCAAGUGAAGGCCCCCUGAAGUGGAAGACAGCAUUGGUACUUAUUUAUAAUGGCCAACUCAAGGCCUGAAGAUUAGGAAGUCCAAAAUCAAGGGACUGGCAGGUUUGGUUGAAUGGUGAGAGCUGCUCUUUGCUUUCCAAGAUGCUACCUUGAUGACACGUCAUCUGUAGGGGAGGAUUGCUUUAUCCUCACAUGGCAAAAGGCCGCAUGAUGCCUUUUUAUAAGGGCCUUAAUCCCACUCCUGAGGGGAGGAGCCCUCUGAUCUGACCACCACCUAAAGGACCUGCCUCCUAAUACUAUCAGAUUAGUAAUACAUGAGUUUGGGAAGGGAUAUAUUUAAAUCAUAGCAAGAGCAUAUACCUGCAUCUUGUUUUUUAUGCAUUCUGACUCUCUGCCUUUUGAUUGUUUAAUCUAUUCACAUUUAAUGUUAUUAUUGAUACAGUUGGAUUUACAGCUGUCAUUCCACCUUUUUUCAGUGUAUGUCAAGUCCUUUUUUCUUCCUCUGUUCCUUUACUGCUUUCUUUUGCAUCAAAUGAGUAUUUUCUAAUGUGUAUUUAAUUUCUUUAAUGAUUUUUUUCACUAUAUUUUGGGUUAUUUCUUUAGCAGUUGCUCUAGGUCUUAACACAUCUGUAUAUAUCUUAUCAGAAACAGCUUCUGAUUUAUAUUAGCUUAAUUCAAGUGAGAUAUAGAAGUGUUACUCUUAUAUAACUAUUUCAUCUCUUACAGUAAUAUUGGUUGUCACAUAACAUCUACAGAUGUUUCAAACUCAACCAAUUGUUACAAUUUUUAUGUUACAUAAAUCUUUUUUUAACUACAAGAAGAAAGGAGAAUCUUUAUACAUUUAUAACUUUUAUUUUAGCCAUCUGAUUUAUCACUUUUGGUUCUUAUUUGGUCCAGAUGGAUUUGAGUUACCAUCUGGAUUCAUUUCCUUAGCCCAAUACAACUUUGCUUUCCCCUGCCUUCUUUGUGUUAUUAUUAGCAAAUAUAUUACAUUUCUGUAUGCUAUGGGCCCAAUAAUACAUAAUAUACAUAGUUUCAUAAAAUUUGUGUAUCAGUUAAGAGAAGAGAUAUGUAUGUAUACUGCCUUUUAUAAUUACAUAAUUGCCUUCUCUUUGUUUUGCAUAUGGAUUUGUAUUACUG